Molecule: ribosomal RNA, 433 nt
Filed under: uncultured bacterium
Lineage: Bacteria
Description: partial 16S ribosomal RNA
Rfam family: Bacterial small subunit ribosomal RNA
Source: RNAcentral
AACGAACGCUGGCGGCAUGCCUAACACAUGCAAGUCGAACGAGACCUUCGGGUCUAGUGGCGCACGGGUGCGUAACGCGUGGGAACCUGCCCUUAGGUUCGGAAUAACUCCCCGAAAGGGGUGCUAAUACCGGAUAAUGUCUUCGGACCAAAGAUUUAUCGCCUUUGGAUGGGCCCGCGUUGGAUUAGCUAGUUGGUAGGGUAAAAGCCUACCAAGGCGACGAUCCAUAGCUUGUCUGAGAGGAUGGUCAGCCACACUGGGACUGAGACACGGCCCAGACUCCUACGGGAGGCAGCAGUGGGGAAUAUUGGACAAUGGGCGAAAGCCUGAUCCAGCAAUGCCGCGUGAGUGAUGAAGGCCGUAGGGUUGUAAAGCUCUUUUACCCGGGAUGAUAAUGACAGUACCGGGAGAAUAAGCUCCGGCUAACUCCGUG